AGUGAACGCUGGCGGUAGGCCUAACACAUGCGAGUCGAACGGCAGCACAGUAAGAGCUUGCUCUUACGGGUGGCGAGUGGCGGACGGGUGAGGAAUACAUCGGAAUCUACUUUUUCGUGGGGGAUAACGUAGGGAAACUUACGCUAAUACCGCAUACGACCUACGGGUGAAAGCAGGGGAUCUUCGGACCUUGCGCGAUUGAAUGAGCCGAUGUCGGAUUAGCUAGUUGGCGGGGUAAAGGCCCACCAAGGCGACGAUCCGUAGCUGGUCUGAGAGGAUGAUCAGCCACACUGGAGCUGAGACACGGUCCAGACUCCUACGGGAGGCAGCAGUGGGGAAUAUUGGACAAUGGGCGCAAGCCUGAUCCAGCCAUACCGCGUGGGUGAAGAAGGCCUUCGGGUUGUAAAGCCCUUUUGUUGGGAAAGAAAAGCAGCAGGUUAAUACCCCGCUGUUCUGACGGUACCCAAAGAAUAAGCACCGGCUAACUUCGUG
RNAcentral lists this ribosomal RNA (492 nucleotides) under uncultured bacterium. RNAcentral's name for it is "partial 16S ribosomal RNA". It matches the Rfam family "Bacterial small subunit ribosomal RNA", at positions 29 to 507 of the family's 1533-position model. The record is from RNAcentral.